AGCUGACCUACUGCACAGGUUCAGGCCCUGUGCACCCGAGGAAAGAUAGUGACAAAGGCCAUACCCUUGGAGAGAGGACUGAUGUCAGGCAGGUUCCUCGCCUGGGUUCUGCCCAGUGAUCUUGUGGACUUCAGGACAUGAGCGCAGACCACACCCAGACAGAGGAAAGCCAUGAAAACUGGGAAGUAAAUGAACAGGAAACAGUUGAGAGACAAAGGGAUGUUUUGAAAGGCGAAUCCGAAUGGAAGUCCAAGAUUGUAG
Molecule: long non-coding RNA, 261 nt
Filed under: Fukomys damarensis (Damara mole-rat)
Lineage: Eukaryota; Metazoa; Chordata; Mammalia; Rodentia; Bathyergidae
Description: lncRNA (ENSFDAG00000023821.1)
Source: RNAcentral